UCGAUUAAUAGACGCUCGCAAGAGGUCUUAAAUCUUAACUUCACACACUGUGCACUUGAAGCUUUUUUAAGCUUGUCAAAUUUUAACACUUGUAAUUUAAAGUUGAUGAUGUAUAAACUUGAUAAAGAAAAUUA
This 134-nucleotide unclassified non-coding RNA is filed under the name Bensingtonia ciliata. RNAcentral describes it as "ITS 1". Lineage: Eukaryota; Fungi; Basidiomycota; Agaricostilbomycetes; Agaricostilbales; Kondoaceae. The record is from RNAcentral.